RNAcentral lists this ribosomal RNA (354 nucleotides) under uncultured bacterium. Its description in RNAcentral is "partial 16S ribosomal RNA". It matches the Rfam family "Bacterial small subunit ribosomal RNA", at positions 338 to 690 of the family's 1533-position model. The record is from RNAcentral.
CCUACGGAGGCAGAAGUGAGGAAUAGUGGUCAAUGGGCGCGAGCCUGAACCAGCCAAGUAGCGUGAAGGAGGACGGGCCUACGGGUUGUAAACUUCUUUUAUAAAGGAAGAAAGUGAGGCACGUGGGCCGUUUUGUAGGUACUUUAUGAAUAAGGAGCGGCUAACUCCGUGCCAGCAGCCGCGGUAAUACGGAGGAUCCGAGCGUUAUCCGGAUUUAUUGGGUUUAAAGGGCGCGGAGAUGGGUUGUUAAGUCAGUUGUGAAAGUUUGCGGCUCAACCGUAAAAUUGCAAUUGAUACUGGCAGCCUUAGGUACAGUUGAGGUAGGCGGAGUUCGUGGUGUGGCGGUCAACUGCU